Molecule: ribosomal RNA, 585 nt
Filed under: uncultured bacterium
Lineage: Bacteria
Description: bacterial SSU rRNA
Rfam family: Bacterial small subunit ribosomal RNA
Source: RNAcentral
CCUACGGGAGGCAGCAGUGGGGAAUUUUGGACAAUGGGCGCAAGCCUGAUCCAGCCAUUCCGCGUGCAGGAUGAAGGCCUUCGGGUUGUAAACUGCUUUUGUACGGAACGAAACGGCUCUCUCUAAUACAGGGGGCUAAUGACGGUACCGUAAGAAUAAGCACCGGCUAACUACGUGCCAGCAGCCGCGGUAAUACGUAGGGUGCAAGCGUUAAUCGGAAUUACUGGGCGUAAAGCGUGCGCAGGCGGUUAUAUAAGACAGAUGUGAAAUCCCCGGGCUCAACCUGGGAACUGCAUUUGUGACUGUAUGGCUAGAGUACGGCAGAGGGGGAUGGAAUUCCGCGUGUAGCAGUGAAAUGCGUAGAUAUGCGGAGGAACACCGAUGGCGAAGGCAAUCCCCUGGGCCUGUACUGACGCUCAUGCACGAAAGCGUGGGGAGCAAACAGGAUUAGAUACCCUGGUAGUCCACGCCCUAAACGAUGUCAACUGGUUGUUGGGUCUUCACUGACUCAGUAACGAAGCUAACGCGUGAAGUUGACCGCCUGGGGAGUACGGCCGCAAGGUUGAAACUCAAAUGAAUUGACGG